Lactuca sativa (garden lettuce) is the source of this 816-nucleotide non-coding RNA. The record is from RefSeq and is a predicted model, not a curated record. Lineage: Eukaryota; Viridiplantae; Streptophyta; Magnoliopsida; Asterales; Asteraceae.
GGCAAACAGUCCAAAAAUUAGUGGUGGAGCUGUGGGACCUUUGUAAUUGCAUUUUCUUCCAUUCAUGGUCAUAGACCUAGGUCAGAAGUGGGUGUUGUAGUAGAUUAGCAGCAGCAAUCCGACUUUAUGUUUGCUUCCGGUGAAACCAUGAGGAAAUGCUUGAGCUCUGUUGAAGAGAAGGGGUAUGGAGUUCAAAACCAAUUGAACUAGUCACAUCAUGGAUCUUAAUAUGUGGUCAUCUGCAGGUCAACCUCCUCAUGCCUUGGUUACUUUUGGUUUUGGUGGGUGGUUGAUUGUGAUGAUGGAUACAAAUGGUUCCACAUACCCAUUGAAAAUCAGGAGUGAUAGUGAGUUCCACCCUCAGUCAUUAAAAUGUCGAAGACUAGAUCCGGCACCCGCACCAAUAAAACCAAGAAACAAAGAGUUCCUCUAAGUGUCUCCUCUUUCAGAUUUCUCCUAAAUUUACUGUUUUGUGAUUCUAAUAUGAUUUAAUGCAGAAUAAGAAUCAUAAUUUUACAAACAAUGAUGUUGAAGAUAAAUCUAUGAAGUUACACUGCUAUAUGGACACAAGAUCCUCCCUUAGCCAGGGUGUUCUUUCUCAGAGGAGAUCUAGCUUUCAGGGUAACCAAUUCCCUCUAGUAGUUGAAGCUGCUAGAAAAGCUCCUAUUCGCAGUAGAAACUUCAUGCGGAAUCAACCAAUGACUUCAUAUAGACCAAGGAAAGUUGUUUGUUUUUCUUUAAUAACAAGUUGUAUUUCAUCUCUUAUUGCUGCAAUAAUCUGAUUAUAAAUGUUGUUAAUUUGGUUUGAUGUGCAGG